CUUGCGGUCACAUCACGUUGAAACGUCGGUUCCCGUACUAUCACCGAAGUUAAGCAACGUCGAGCCUGGUCAGUAUCUAGAUGGGUAAUCGAUUAGGAAUACCAGGUGCUGUAAG
Acanthosepion pharaonis is the source of this 115-nucleotide non-coding RNA. Lineage: Eukaryota; Metazoa; Mollusca; Cephalopoda; Sepiida; Sepiidae. The record is from the annotation of a GenBank genome assembly.